This 6141-nucleotide long non-coding RNA is filed under the name Sus scrofa (pig). RNAcentral describes it as "lncRNA (ENSSSCG00065071801.1)". The record is from RNAcentral. Lineage: Eukaryota; Metazoa; Chordata; Mammalia; Artiodactyla; Suidae.
GACAGAAAAAACAUAGUAAUGUUGCAAAAUGCAGGACCCAAGAAUUGUCAACGCUCAAGGGCACUCAAGGGGCUCUCUUCUCUAAGACCCCUUUCUCAGUGAGAGGAUUCUACACUGUUGACCCCUCUCUCAGUGAAGAUGCUGGAGAGUUUUGGCACCUGUUCCCACUAACUUACUUUCGUGACUUGGAUUAUGACCUCCCCAUGUAAGGGAAGGCAGUAUAGUUACUGCCCCAUCCCCAUUCCUACCACUGAAAUAAAAUUCAUGUCUCCUACACUUCUAAACACUACUAGAUUCAAAUAGGCUGACAAUCUGCAACUCCACCUAAAGAUCUCUCAAAUCUUGCAGAAGCAAAUGGGGCAUGCAUGUUUCUCUUCAAAUCUUCUCAACCCUCCUUGGACUUCAGCCAUUGCUGCCCAACCCAUUCUAUACUGCUUUGACCACCUUUGCACAAGCAUAACCUGACAGACUUCUCUUAGAACCACACAGUUUACCUACAUCUCACUUUCUACUCCAGAGCUUCUCCAGUACAAUGAUGUGGGAUACUGUGGCAAUUCGCCUGGCACACAGGAUGUUAAUUCCCAAAGGUCACCCUUGAUCAGUGGAAGAUGGGACUCACAGGAAUCCAGUGUGUAAAUAUGUUUCCAUUUCUUCUGUCAAAAAAUAAUUCAGAGACUCAUCUAAUAAUGCUCCCCAAGGUGGUCGCUUGCAGUGGUGUCCAAUACAAUUGGCCUACUGUCCUUUCACUUUACUAUCCAUAACUCUUCCUCUUCCCUCUAAGAUCUCGUUCCACCCUAAGGACUUAACAUACACAACUCUGGCUCAGCCUCUGUAUUUGAAGAAACCCAGGUUAAAACAGAGAUACCAAAAGUAGCCACAGAAAGCUGUCAGGAUGGGAUUUUGGAACUAGCAAUAAGCACUAAUUGCUGGUUGUAAGUAAGGUAGGCAUAACUUCAAUAGUUUCAUAUAUCCAAAAAUAGUCCUACAAAUAACAUAUUCUAAUAAAUCAUAUAACAAUCAUAUAAUGUUUUUAAUCUCUCAAUAAUAAAAAUGUAUCAACUAUGCUAGAGGAAACUUUGAAUUAUCUUUCUAGUUUCUCUGUAGAAAAUGUUACAAAGUUGUCAUAUGGAGAAGAAAUCAAAGUGUAUACAGCUAUAAAAAGUAAGAUUAAUAGUAUUAUGCAUUUGAGAUUGGGCAUAAAUUUUAUGUUUUUUUUUUUUUAUUUUCUAGUGUUUUGUGGUAUUAUUUCAGGGGUUGGUAAGUGACCUGAGCUAGUCUAAUUUGAAUUUCAGAUCUUAUGAUGAUGAACGGGCAUUUUCGCUGGAUUCAAACCUGAAAGAUUAUUGUCCCAGGGGCUAUAAGCUACUUUCUUGAAAGCAUGUAGGCUUAGAUAAUGGAGCCAAUAGCAACUAGGAAAUGCUUAAAAAUUAAGAAAGAAGAAAAUAAUUUGACUCCUAGAAUAAGAGGAAUCUGAAACCACUGUUCCAUUAUAUGAGGCAAUAAAUUCCUCUUUCUUAGACAUUUGAGUUGGAUUUUCCAUUACUCACUACAGAAAGCAAAGGUACACAGGGAUUACUAUCCUCUUGAACACAAUGAAUGACAAAACAUUUGGCUUUUUUCUGGUAUAAAAACCAUAUCUAAUUAUUUCCAAUGUUAUUUCAAACAUGGCCCAUGACAUCCUGAGUAAACUGUACUUAUUCCUCAUUCUUAAUUUUCUUAUGAUUUCUUCAGGGAAAACUAUUUUGGUUUUCAUUAGUUUAUUUUCUCUGAUUUGCAUUCUUAUAGCACCUUAUAUUUCAUUUUUAUAUUAUAUAUAAAUAGAUGAUAGAUUGAUAAAUAGGUAGACAGAUGAUAGAUAGACGAUAAAUUUGUCUUCUGUAUCUCCCAUAAGACUUUAAGCUCCAAGAGGGAGGCUUACCAUCUUCAUUUAUUUUCAAAGGUAUAUGCCUGGCAUCAAGCCCAAUGUCUGUAUGAAAAGAAUACUAGUUAAGUGAGAAAAUAGUGCCUGAUGGAAUGAUAGAAUGAAUGAAUUAUUUAACUCAUAUAAACAUGAAAAGCCAGAAUCUUCAAAUUGCUAAUAAAUACAUGAGUAUGUAUAUACUCAUAUACAAUUAUGUAUGUAUACUUAUUUUAUACAUAUUUGUGUAUGUAUGUGUGUACAUAUAUAGAUACAUAUAUGUGUGAACUUAUAUAUGUAGACACACACAGAAACAUACAUGUUAAAGAAUGUGAAGGGAAGAUCUAUACAGGCCUGAAUGCCAUGUAAUAGUCACAGUGCUCAGGAUCCCUUGAAAACCCAUUUGAUCUUAGAGUGGAGUAGGUAGUAGAGCAGAUGACAGAAAAAGAGGAAGGUAUGCUCUAAAUGCAAUCAGCAAAUACUAUUUUGUUUUAUGUUGAGAUAUUUUUUUCUACACAAAUUACAUAAGAAAAUUACACUAUCUUGGUAUAAUAUGUGUGAUGAGGAUGGCUAAACAUUUGCAAUAAGAAUAAGUCAUUAAAUAUCCUGGGGCGAAAAUACCCAUAAUGAAAUACAAAUGAUCUCCUUGGUGAUUGUGGAUGCCAUGGGACAGAACACCAACCACAAGAAAAGAGAUUACCUGACUAUAAAGCCAAACUGACUGCAACCCAGGGAAGUGACAACUGACUCCAUUUCUACCAUAGCCAAAUAAGGCAGCACUAUUCACAGAAGCCAAGACAUGGAAACAGCGUAAAUGUCCAUUGACAGAUGAAUGGAUUAAGAAGAUAUGUUAUAUAUACACAAUGGAAUACUAUUCAGCCAUAAAAAAGAACAAAAUAGUGCCAUUUGCAGCAACAUGGUUGGAACUAGAGACUCUCAUACUAAGUGAAGUAAGUCAGAAAGAGAAAGACAAAUACAACAUGAUAUCAUUUAUAUCUGGAAUCUAAUAUACAGUACAAAUAAACCUUUCCACAGAAAAGAAACUCAUGGACUUGGAGACCAGACUUGGGGUUGCCAAGGGGGAGGAGGAGGAAGUGGGAUGGACUGGGAGUUUGAGGUUAAUAGAUGCUAACUAUUGCCUUUGGAGUGGAUAAGCAAUGGGAUCCUGCUGUAUAGCACUGGGAACUAUAUCUAGUCACUUAUUGUGGCACAUGAUGGAGGAAAAUGUGAGAAAAAAAAUGUAUAUAUGUAUGUGUGACUGGGUUACUUUACUGUACAGUAGAAAAUUGACAGAACACUGUAAACCAACUAUAAUGGAAAAAAUAAAAAUCAUUUAAAAAUGAGAAUCAUCUUAUGAUUCUCCAGAAUUGCCUCCCUCCACAAAAGAUUUUAUUCUGAUGUAUCCAUUAGAAUUAGGAAAAAUUAUCCUUAUCUUGGAAAUAAGACAAAAAAGAAUACAGCAUAUUUUUUCAGUGACAUACUGGGACAUUUUAUCAACAGGUCUACCCUUGGAUUAUUUGCUUCUCUUGGAAAAUAUAAUUCUGAAGCUACUCUCCAAGGAAGGAGAGAUUUUUUUCUCAUAAAAAGAUCACCCCAAAGGUUGUGUUCUUAUUGCCUCUCUUGGACCCAAACAAGCUUUCUGUCUUACCUAGACAAUUAAAGUUCAUAUUUUCAAACACCUGUAACUAGUUUCUCAAAAGUUCUUUGAACCAACUUUAUCAUCCUACUGGUCACAUGAUUAAUGAGUUAACACUCAGUGAUACCCCUGUUGUAUAAAAGACUUGUGUUUAUUUUUUGGAAAAAUUACCCUUUGAGCAUGAGAAUCUAUGCUCAUUCCUAUUUAUUUAGCACAACAGUUUUGAGGAAUAUUUAAGCCAUUAAUAAUUUUUUUUAUGACCUCACCUGUGGCAUGUGGAGGGUUCUGGGCUAGAGUUGAGUUGGAGCUCCAGCUGAGGCCUCUGCCACAGCCACAGCAACACUGGAUCUGAGCCACAUCUGUGACCUAUGUGACAGUGCCAGAUCCUAACCCACUGAAUGAGGCCAGGGUUUGAAGCUGCACCUCGGAGAAACAUCAGAUUCUUAACCCACUGAGCCACAAUGGGAACCCCAGUAGAAGUAUUUUGAAAUUAUCUUUUCCUCCAUUGACUUCUAUUGAGAAAAAUGUUGGGUUUUUCUGUAUUUUAAGACAUUAAGGCUACUUUUUUCCUUUUUGGGCGAGUGUUUUGUAAAGUGGGUCCCCCUCGUAGCAAAGUUGCUCUCUUCUCAUUGAGACUGGUUAAAUUUCACACCUGGUGCCUACACAUUCUACCCUUACAUAAUGGAGUUUGACACAUCAUAUGAUUUUAAUGGCCCUCAUGCGCAGCCUGUGGAUGUUAGCAACUUCAAGUGUUUGGGUAGUCUCAGCCUUUCUUCCCCCCACUUUAGUAUUCUUUUUCAACUUUCGUAAGAUCAGAAACCAGUAGGCAGCUCAAGGAACUGACUUAGUGAGUAUUUGAGGCCAACUUAUUUCUAGAUAUUAUGAAAGUGGUGUGAGGUGUGACAGGAGCAUCAACACAGGUGACUUGUUACUGAGGCAGGGGGGCUCAAGGGGGUGCUAUUAACAGUGUCUUCUAGAGCCAUCUUUUUGGCGCCUCUGUUCCUGUGAAGCCAGUACACCAUCUGGCAGUUAGGCAUAGUGCCAUUUUAACAGAUGGGACCCAUAUAGGAGGCUCUGAGACCAUUUAUUACUAUCAACCAUAGUGUCGGACAGAGUUUUCUGAGGAAAUAUUCAACUCACUCAUUUUCACCUUGGCUUUUAAUUCCUCAGUAAAAGUAGAUAAUAUUUCUUCCUUUAAGUGAGGAAAAGACAAGAAAUGGUUUUCUCUUGGGAGUCUGGUGCUAUCAGAGAAUGAGUUGAUGCCAAAUCUUAUACACACUCAUUAUUCAUACAACUUUAGCAAAGUGACUCUUUUUUUCUUAAAUAUUUCCCUUUCAAAAUAUUCUAUAACAGCCUAGUUUUUAGCCUCAUAAUUUGAUAUGUAUAUGUAUAUGUCUUUUGGAUGUGAUUAAAAACAAAACAGAUUGAGUCAUUUUCCCCUUUUGAUGUCCUAGAAAGAACUGAAAUUAAGAGGGAAAAAGCUAUCAAUCAUUGGCCACUUGGAAAAAUUUUGGUGGGUGCUUAACUUAGGCAUAUGAUAUUUUUAUGAUUCAAAGGAGUAAAUGAUACAAUUUUUGCCCUCAAAAAACUUAUCAGUUUGUUGGGAAGAUAAAACACAUACCUAAAAUGACAUUUCUUCUUUCACUGUAAAAGUAAUUCAUAAUUGGAAUAGGGCAUUAGAAAAAUACAGACAAAUGGAAGAAAAAUAAGUUAUCCAUAACCUUAUCACACAAAACCAAUUCCUGCUACACUUUGAGGUGUUCAUCCCCAGUGUUUUGUUGUUGUUGUUAUUGUUGUUGUUUGUGGGUUUAUUGGUCUUUUUCAGUGCACACUAUUUGGUUCAUGUAUUUAUGAUCCUAUUACAUAUCUAGCUUUUGAUACUGAUCUUUCAUAAUAUGCUAUGAUCCUAUUACAUAUCUAGCUUUUGAUACUGAUCUUUCAUAAUAUGCUAUAGAGAUGGCUUUAAUAAACAUCUUUGUAAAUGAACUUUUUUCUUUUUUAUUCUUAUGUGCUUAGAAAAUAUCUCCAGGAGUUCCCGUUGUGGCUCAGUGGUUAAUGAAUUUGACUAGGAACCAUGAGGUUGCGGGUUCGAUCCCUGGCCUUGCUCAGUGGGUUAAGGAUCUGGCGUUGCCGUGAGCUGUGGUGUAGGUUGCAGAUGCGGCUCGGUUCCUGUGUUGCUGUGGCUCUGGCGUAGGCCAGUGGCUACAGCUCCAAUUCGACCCCUAGCCUGGGACCUCCAUAUGCUGUGGGAGCGGCCCAAGAAAUGGCAAAAAGACAAAAAAUAAAAAAGAAAGUAUCUCCAGAAGCAAACUUUCUGGGUCAAAGGGAAUACUUGUUUAUUAAAGAAUCUUCAAGAGUUCCCAUCAUGACUCAGUGGUUAAUGAAUCUGACUAGGAAUCAUGAGGUUGCAGGUUCGAUACCUGGCCUGGCUCAGCGGGUCCAGCGUUGCUGUGAGCUGUGGUGUAGGUCACAGACGCAGCUCAGAUCUAGCAUUGCUGUGACUGUGGCGUAGGCCAGCAGCUGCAGCUACAGCUCCAAUCAGACCCCUAGCCUGGAACCUCCAUACGCCAUGGGUGCAGCCCUAAAAAGACAAAAAAAAAAAAAAAAA